UGUAAUUUAUGCAUAUGGUUGGCUAUGUUGAAUCAUCUUGGAGGAAAGAAAAACAGAUACAUACAUUUACAAGUACAACCUUGAAGGUUGCGACCACAAUGGAAAACGAACGAAUACGUUAUUUGACCAAUUCCAACUUUAUUUUAGAAGAAAUGUAAACAAAUAAAAUAAGACGAAAAGAAAAACAAAUUUUCAGGAAGGCACUUUAAUUUUUGGUCCAUUAGCUGUGUGACCACUUUGAAGGUUUUGGGAAGUUGUGAUGGGCCAUUAGGGUAAACUGUGUCUGCGCCAGAAAAGUGGGAAAGGAUAAUGAAACUUUGCACUUUCAUUUAUCACUAAAAUGCUGAAGAGAGAUGUGGAAGAGAAUCUUCAUAAUUUACUGGAACAAAAAGCUAACCAAAUGUGAUUCAUCUAGGAGAGUGAUGAUUAACAAAGGAACCCACAUGUUCCUAACUGGGAAACAGACCAACUUUUCCCAGCUUUUCACUAUCUCAUUAUCAAAGCAACUUGACAUCUAACAACACCACUCGCCUUUCCUACCUUGACCAAGAAAUUUACUUCACAAAAUCGGAUAUUUUAUAUAAAAAUGUUCACACUUUCAUUUAUUACGCAAUUUGUUUCUCUAGUGUUAUCGUUUUAUAUAAUACUUGUAAAGAGAAUUAUGAAAUACUGUGUAUACACUUCCAGACUUUUAUAACAGACUAUUAAACUUACCUGCAUUAGGAUUAUUUCAUGUACAAUGAAAAAGCAGACACAUUUUUUUUUUUAUCAACGUUAAAAAU
Molecule: long non-coding RNA, 782 nt
Filed under: Vigna radiata
Lineage: Eukaryota; Viridiplantae; Streptophyta; Magnoliopsida; Fabales; Fabaceae
Description: long non-coding RNA (VRAD_LNC003707)
Source: RNAcentral